RNAcentral lists this long non-coding RNA (1413 nucleotides) under Struthio camelus australis. RNAcentral's name for it is "lncRNA (ENSSCUG00000009709.1)". The record is from RNAcentral. Lineage: Eukaryota; Metazoa; Chordata; Aves; Struthioniformes; Struthionidae.
CCCCCUACCAGUUCUUCGCCGCGGGCUGUCACUGAGGGGCGCCCGGUGCCGCCCUCCCUCCUCUGCCCGUACGUGAAGGGGCCGUGAGCCGGGGUCACAGCCGGAAGAAGCAGACUUUGCUUUGUUCUCAGGUUGCGAGAGCACGAGAGAAACGGGGGAGGGGGGCGGGGCAGCCGCCGCCGUUUUCGUGUGCGAAGAGGACCGUUUCUACGAGGGAAACAACCGCCUUCCUCACGUCCGCCCCCGGCGCUGCGAAGGCCCUGCCUCUCUCUGCCUCCUUGCCCCGAGAAGCCUGCCUCCUCAAGGACCUCUUGACCUGCCAGUUCAUCAGGACCGUGUAUGUCAGAAUGAAUGUGUGUGUGUGUUUUUCCCCACAAAUUCUGUGCAAAUUCUCUGAUGCGCUAACCCUUUAGUAAAGCCUUACUGCACAUAAACUCAGUUUGGCUAAUUAUGAAUCCUGUGUAGGAAGGAUGGUUUAACAGAUUAGUUUUGCGUUUGAUCGUUUGAUUUUUUUUUUUCACUUCAGCCUGUAACAAUUAGAUUUUAUUAUGAACUUGAAUCACUUUAUCUGGGAUGUGCUAGAUUCACUGUUACACACCUCUUUAAAUCGAGACUGGAUGCAUUACUCUGAAUAUAGUGUACCUGAGGUGUAAGUUGUAGGCUCCAUGCAAGAAACAUUUACUAAAGUUCUCUUUUAAAAUUCAAAGAAGUCAGACUAGAUUAUCAUAAUGGUCAUUUUUGCUAUUGAAACUUAUGACUCUGUUAAUCUGUUUUAUUCAGAAAACUCAAACCUCCCAUUGAAAUCAGAUAGUUGUAAGAUAUUCUGUAAUAAGAGGCAUAGAGUGGGUCUUUUAUACUGUCAGAACUGAAAUUUUCAGGAUUAAUGGGCACUUUUGAAAUGUGACUUCUACUAUUGUCAUGCUAGUCACUGGAGUCAACGAGUGAUGGUUACCUUUGAUAACAGCGGACUGGGACAGUGAAUUAACCAGCUGUUGUAUUCUCUUUGUUUCAUAUUUGUUUUAUGAGGAAGAAAGCGUACCUGGCUAUUUACACUAUUAAACUUUGCCAUCCUAUCUAUCAUCUUUUUCCCACUCUGGUUUUACAAUGUUUAUUAAGCACGCUGAAAAUCAGGAAGGUCUUUUGUUCAUUGGUAUUUUGUGAGUAAGUCAGGGUGGGACCCAUGGCACUCUCCAAAAGUCUUAAUUUUGUUUCUUCAGUUGCAAAAUCAGUAAGCUAGAGCUGUCUAGCAGAUAGUUUUCACAACAGCAGUAAAGAGCAUCCAAAUCUUACUCCAGCUAAGUGGUAUAAUACAUUGGUCGAGCAAAAAAGCUAUCACUAUUUUUAGGUAAGAAUGCAUCUCGUUUUCCUGCAUUGCAUCCAGAAUGUUUUUAGCUGAGCAUUAAAGUGAAUGAU